RNAcentral lists this ribosomal RNA (252 nucleotides) under uncultured bacterium. RNAcentral's name for it is "partial 16S ribosomal RNA". It matches the Rfam family "Bacterial small subunit ribosomal RNA", at positions 524 to 776 of the family's 1533-position model. The record is from RNAcentral.
UACGGAGGAUGCGAGCGUUAUCCGGAUUUAUUGGGUUUAAAGGGUGCGUAGGCGGACGCUUAAGUCAGCGGUAAAAUUGCGGGGCUCAACCUCGUCGAGCCGUUGAAACUGGGUGCCUUGAGUGGGCGAGAAGUACGCGGAAUGCGUGGUGUAGCGGUGAAAUGCAUAGAUAUCACGCAGAACUCCGAUUGCGAAGGCAGCGUACCGGCGCCCUACUGACGCUGAAGCACGAAGGCGUGGGUGUCGAACAGG